GUCUAUGUAGUGCAAUGGAUAGCACGUUGGACCUCCAAUCCAAAGGUUGUGGGUUCGAAUCCCACCUGGGAUG
This 73-nucleotide transfer RNA is filed under the name Trichonephila inaurata madagascariensis. It matches the Rfam family "tRNA". From Rfam's summary of the family: Transfer RNA (tRNA) molecules are approximately 80 nucleotides in length. Their secondary structure includes four short double-helical elements and three loops (D, anti-codon, and T loops). Further hydrogen bonds mediate the characteristic L-shaped molecular structure. tRNAs have two regions of fundamental functional importance: the anti-codon, which is responsible for specific mRNA codon recognition, and the 3' end, to which the tRNAs corresponding amino acid is attached (by aminoacyl-tRNA synthetases). tRNAs cope with the degeneracy of the genetic code in two manners: having more than one tRNA (with a specific anti-codon) for a particular amino acid; and 'wobble' base-pairing, i.e. permitting non-standard base-pairing at the 3rd anti-codon position. Lineage: Eukaryota; Metazoa; Arthropoda; Arachnida; Araneae; Nephilidae. The record is from Rfam by way of RNAcentral.